This 274-nucleotide ribosomal RNA is filed under the name uncultured bacterium. RNAcentral describes it as "partial 16S ribosomal RNA". It matches the Rfam family "Bacterial small subunit ribosomal RNA", at positions 523 to 796 of the family's 1533-position model. The record is from RNAcentral.
AUACGAAGGGCCCGAGCGUUGCGCGGAAUCACUGGGCUUAAAGCGUACGUAGGCGGACAUGCAGGCAUUUUGUGAAAUCCCUCGGCUCAACCGAGGAACUGCAGGGUGAACCGCAUGUCUUGAGGUGAGUAGGGGCUGUCGGAACGAUAGGUGGAGCGGUGAAAUGCGUUGAUAUCUAUCGGAACGCCGAAGGCGAAGGCAGACAGCUGGGCUUAUUCUGACGCUGAGGUACGAAAGCGUGGGGAGCGAACGGGAUUAGAAACCCCAGUAGUCC